This 497-nucleotide ribosomal RNA is filed under the name uncultured bacterium. RNAcentral describes it as "partial 16S ribosomal RNA". It matches the Rfam family "Bacterial small subunit ribosomal RNA", at positions 28 to 507 of the family's 1533-position model. The record is from RNAcentral.
GAUGAACGCUGGCGGCGUGCCUAAUACAUGCAAGUCGAGCGAACAGACGAGGAGCUUGCUCCUCUGACGUUAGCGGCGGACGGGUGAGUAACACGUGGAUAACCUACCUAUAAGACUGGGAUAACUUCGGGAAACCGGAGCUAAUACCGGAUAAUAUAUGGAACCGCAUGGUUCAAUAGUGAAAGACGGUUUUGCUGUAACUUAUAGAUGGAUCCGCGCCGCAUUAGCUAGUUGGUAAGGUAACGGCUUACCAAGGCAACGAUGCGUAGCCGACCUGAGAGGGUGAUCGGCCACACUGGAACUGAGACACGGUCCAGACUCCUACGGGAGGCAGCAGUAGGGAAUCUUCCGCAAUGGGCGAAAGCUUGACGGAGCAACGCCGCGUGAGUGAUGAAGGUCUUCGGAUCGUAAAACUCUGUUAUUAGGGAAGAACAAAUGUGUAAGUAACUAUGCACGUCUUGACGGUACCUAAUCAGAAAGCCACGGCUAACUACGUG